UCCGUGAAAGUGGUGUUCCCUACACUAUCGUGCGGCCAUGUGCUCUAACUGAGGAACCAGCUGGAGCUGACCUCAUAUUUGAACAGGGGGAUAAUAUUACUGUAAGUAGAGGCAGCAUGUGUCAAUGCCAUAACGUGAUUCCAUGUCUCUCCUUUUCCUCCCUACAAACCUAAUUAUGUGUUUAACAAUUACCGUGAUAAUUCAGGGAAAGAUAUCGCGGGAAGAAGUUGCCCGCAUUUGUGUUGCAGCUCUAGCUAGCCCAAAUGCAGUGGGGAAGACUUUUGAGGUUAAAUUUCUGUAACUAAUUUGUGAGAAACUACGUUGGACAGUAAAACAUUAGAAGGGAAUAGUCACGAAAAAAACAAUUUGGAACUUUUCAUUACAUAUAUCUCAGGAAGAGAGCUAAUUAUGUUGUCCUUCGUGAU
RNAcentral lists this long non-coding RNA (425 nucleotides) under Brachypodium distachyon (stiff brome). RNAcentral describes it as "long non-coding RNA (BDIS_LNC002911)". Lineage: Eukaryota; Viridiplantae; Streptophyta; Magnoliopsida; Poales; Poaceae. The record is from RNAcentral.